CCUACGGGUGACAGCAGUGGGGAAUAUUGGACAAUGGUGGGAACCCUGAUCCAGCGCCGCCGCGUGAGUGAAGAAGUAUUUCGGUAUGUAAAGCUCUAUCAGCAGGGACGAAAGAAAUGACGGUACCUGCCUAUGAAGCCCCGGCUAACUACGUGCCAGCAGCCGCGGUAAUACGUAGGGGGCAAUCGUUAUCCGGAUGUACUGGGUGUAAAGGGAGCGUAGACUGCGAUGCAAGUCUGAAGUGAAAGGCGGGGGCUCAACCCCCGUACUGCUUUGGAAACUGUAUGGCUGGAGUGCAGGAGAGGUAAGUGGAAUUCCUAGUGUAGCGGUGAAAUGCGUAGAUAUUAGGAGGAACACCAGUGGCGAAGGCGGCUUACUGGACUGUAACUGACGUUGAGGCUCGAAAGCGUGGGGAGCAAACAGGAUUAGAUACCCGAGUAGUC
This 443-nucleotide ribosomal RNA is filed under the name uncultured bacterium. Its description in RNAcentral is "partial 16S ribosomal RNA". It matches the Rfam family "Bacterial small subunit ribosomal RNA", at positions 338 to 795 of the family's 1533-position model. The record is from RNAcentral.